GUCAACUCUCAAGGUUCUAUUUCAGGGGACUUGGUGAACCACCCUCAAUUGGUAUUGGGUAUCGGUGGUUAUCAAACACAACCGAUGAGUCUAUAUGAUCAAAUGGUUUUAUCAUCUUCAACAGCAUCUCAUCAUUUUCAAUCUUCUACUUUUGCUGGUUCUACUUUUUCUCCAACUCCACAAUCUUCGUCCCUUCCUCUGCUUUUUCCAGCUCCACCACACGGGGGCUUGAGGACGGCC
This 240-nucleotide unclassified non-coding RNA is filed under the name Hevea brasiliensis (rubber tree). The record is from RNAcentral. Lineage: Eukaryota; Viridiplantae; Streptophyta; Magnoliopsida; Malpighiales; Euphorbiaceae.